RNAcentral lists this ribosomal RNA (497 nucleotides) under uncultured bacterium. RNAcentral's name for it is "partial 16S ribosomal RNA". It matches the Rfam family "Bacterial small subunit ribosomal RNA", at positions 28 to 507 of the family's 1533-position model. The record is from RNAcentral.
GAUGAACGCUGGCGGCGUGCUUAAUACAUGCAAGUCGAGCGAACAGACGAGGAGCUUGCUCCUCUGACGUUAGCGGCGGACGGGUGAGUAACACGUGGAUAACCUACCUAUAAGACUGGGAUAACUUCGGGAAACCGGAGCUAAUACCGGAUAAUAUAUUGAACCGCAUGGUUCAAUAGUGAAAGACGGUUUUGCUGUCACUUAUAGAUGGAUCCGCGCCGCAUUAGCUAGUUGGUAAGGUAAAGGCUUACCAAGGCAACGAUGCGUAGCCGACCUGAGAGGGUGAUCGGCCACACUGGAGCUGAGACGCGGUCCAGACUCCUACGGGAGGCAGCAGUAGGGAAUCUUCCGCAAUGGGCGAAAGCCUGACGGAGCAACGCCGCGUGAGUGAUGAAGGUCUUCGGAUCGUAAAACUCUGUUAUUAGGGAAGAACAAAUGUGUAAGUAACUAUGCACGUCUUGACGGUACCUAAUCAGAAAGCCACGGCUAACUACGUG